RNAcentral lists this ribosomal RNA (227 nucleotides) under uncultured bacterium. Its description in RNAcentral is "partial 16S ribosomal RNA". It matches the Rfam family "Bacterial small subunit ribosomal RNA", at positions 118 to 347 of the family's 1533-position model. The record is from RNAcentral.
UGAGUAAUCUGCCCUCCACUUUGGGAUAGCCACCGGAAACGGUGAUUAAUACCGGAUAUGACUCGUGCCCGCAUGGGUGUGGGUGGAAAGUUUUUCGGUGGGGGAUGUGCUCGCGGCCUAUCAGCUUGAUGGUGGGGUAAUGGCCUACCAUGGCUUCGACGGGUAGCCGGCCUGAGAGGGUGACCGGCCACACUGGGACUGAGACACGGCCCAGACUCCUACGGGAG